UCUACAUGCGCUGCUACGGUGCGCUCGAGCGGUAGCGAAAGUACCUUGCUACUUUGCCGGCGAGCGGCGCAUGGGGAGAAAUGUCUGGGAAACUGGCUGAUGGAGGGGGAUAACUGGUGGAAACGGGAGCUAAGACCGUAUAAUGUCUCAAGACCAAAGAGGGGGACCUUCGGGCCUCUUGCCAUCAGAUGUGCCCAGAUGGGAUUAGCUAGUGGGUGGGGUAACGGCUCACCUAGGCGACUAUCCCUAGCUGGUCUGAGAGGAUGACCAGCCACACUGGAACUGAGACACGGUCCAGACUCCUACGGGAGGCAGCAGUGGGGAAUAUUGCACAAUGGGCGCAAGCCUGAUGCACCCAUGCCGCGUGUAUGAAGAAGGCCUUCGGGUUGUAAAGUACUUUCAGCGGGGAGGAAGGCGAUAAGGUUAAUAACCUUGUCUAUUGACGUUACCCGCAGAAGAAGCACCGGCUAACUCCGUGCCAGCAGCCGCGGUAAUACGGAGGGUGCAAGCGUUAAUCGGAAUUACUGGGCGUAAAGCGCACGCAGGCGGUCUGUCAAGUCGGAUGUGAAAUCCCCGGGCUCAACCUGGGAACUGCAUUCAAAACUGGCAGGCUAGAGUCUUGUAGAGGGGGGUAGAAUUCCAGGUGUAGCGGUGAAAUGCGUAGAGAUCUGGAGGAAUACCGGUGGCGAACGCGGCCCCCUGGACAAAGACUGACGCUCAUGUGCGAAAGCGUGGGGAGCAAACAAGAUUAUAUACUGUGGUAGUCCACGCCGUAAACGAUGUCCGACUUGGAGGUUGUGCCCCUGAGGCGUGGCUUCCAGAGCUAACGCGUUAAGUCGACCGCCUGGAGAGUACGGCGCCAGGUAAACACUCAAAUGAUUGACGGGGGGCCCGCACAAGCUGUGGCGUAUGUGGUUAAAUUCGAUGCAACGCGGAGAACCCUUACCACUUCUGGACUGCUAGAAGAACUUCAGAUGUGGAUUGGUCGCCUUCGGAACUUUGGAACAGGUGCCUGCAUGGCUGUUCGUCAUCUCGUCGUAGUAGAACGGUGGGUUAAGCUCCGCAAAGGACCCAACCAUUUUUCCUUUUGUUGCCAGAGGUUACGGCCGGGCACCCAAAGGAGACUGCCACGUGCAUACA
This 1140-nucleotide ribosomal RNA is filed under the name Enterobacter sp. HPP16. RNAcentral describes it as "bacterial SSU rRNA". It matches the Rfam family "Bacterial small subunit ribosomal RNA", at positions 50 to 1163 of the family's 1533-position model. The record is from RNAcentral. Lineage: Bacteria; Pseudomonadati; Pseudomonadota; Gammaproteobacteria; Enterobacterales; Enterobacteriaceae.